RNAcentral lists this transfer RNA (73 nucleotides) under Buchnera aphidicola BCc. Its description in RNAcentral is "tRNA-Trp (CCA) (tRNA-Trp-CCA-1-1)". It matches the Rfam family "tRNA". From Rfam's summary of the family: Transfer RNA (tRNA) molecules are approximately 80 nucleotides in length. The record is from Rfam by way of RNAcentral. Lineage: Bacteria; Pseudomonadati; Pseudomonadota; Gammaproteobacteria; Enterobacterales; Erwiniaceae.
AGGGGUGUAGUUUAAUUGGUAGAGCAUCGGUCUCCAAAACCGAAAGUUGGGGGUUCAAUUCCCUCCACCCCUG